This 272-nucleotide ribosomal RNA is filed under the name uncultured bacterium. RNAcentral's name for it is "partial 16S ribosomal RNA". It matches the Rfam family "Bacterial small subunit ribosomal RNA", at positions 338 to 621 of the family's 1533-position model. The record is from RNAcentral.
CCUACGGGAGGCAGCAGUGGGGAAUAUUGCACAAUGGGCGAAAGCCUGAUGCAGCGACGCCGCGUGAGGGAUGACGGCCUUCGGGUUGUAAACCUCUUUCAGCAGGGAAGAAGCGAAAGUGACGGUACCUGCAGAAGAAGCGCCGGCUAACUACGUGCCAGCAGCCGCGGUAAUACGUAGGGCGCAAGCGUUGUCCGGAAUUAUUGGGCGUAAAGAGCUCGUAGGCGGCUUGUCGCGUCGGUUGUGAAAAGCCCGGGGCUUAACCCGGUCGU